GAUGAAGAACGUAGCGAAAUGCGAUAAGUAAUGUGAAUUGCAGAAUUCAGCGAAUCAUCGAAUCUUUGAACGCACCUUGCGCCCUUUGGCCAUUCCGAAGGGCAUGCCUGUUUGAGUAUCAUGAACACCUCAACUCUUCAUGGUUUUCCAUGAUGAGCUUGGACUUUGGGGGUCUUGCUGGCCUGUGGGUCGGCUCCUCUCAAAUGAAUCAGCUUGCUGGUUUUUGGUGGGCAUCACAGGUGUGAUAACUAUCUACGCUUGUGGUUUUCCACCAGGGUAACCUUCAGCAGUGGAGGUUCACUGGAGCUUACAAAUGUCUCUCCUCUGUGAGGACAGCCCUUUGAAUGUUUGAUCUCAAAUCAGGUAGGACUACCCGCUGAACUUAAGCAUAUCAAUAAGCGGAGGA
Molecule: unclassified non-coding RNA, 406 nt
Filed under: soil metagenome
Description: partial contains 5.8S ribosomal RNA, internal transcribed spacer 2, and large subunit ribosomal RNA
Rfam family: 5.8S ribosomal RNA (bases 1-121)
Source: RNAcentral